Amphibalanus amphitrite is the source of this 435-nucleotide long non-coding RNA. RefSeq lists it as uncharacterized. The record is from RefSeq and is a predicted model, not a curated record. The transcript is spliced from 3 exons. Lineage: Eukaryota; Metazoa; Arthropoda; Thecostraca; Balanomorpha; Balanidae.
AGCGGCUGUCAGUCACCAUCGUUGACAUCCCGCGACUGAGGGGGCAGCUGCCGAAAGGCCUCGAGCGCCUUACUGUCAGAGGUGGUGGUAUCAGGGGGAAUCCAAACACGAUCAUCCUUCGGGCUGGAGUUCCUCUCAGCGAGCUGACGGAGCUGCGGGGCUCACGGAAGACUGUGAAGCGGCUGUCAGUCACCGCCGCCGACCUCCCGCGACUGAGUGGGCAGCUGCUACCGAAGGGCCUCGUAUACCUCAAUGUCAGAGGGCCGGAGGUGACGGAGCCGAGGUGGCCGGAAGUGACGGAGCCGAGGCGGCCGGAGGUGACGAAGCCAAGGUGGCCGGGAUGGUACUGGGGUCUGUCAGUGUCCCUCCAGGGGGUGGCUGCCGACACCAUCAGUCACCUGGCUGACCUGGGACGGACGGUCACACUACUGGAGA